GAAAUCUUAGGUAAAUCCGGGGUUUCAAGGCCGAGAGCUGAUGACGAGUCGUCUUUUAGAUGACGAAGUGGUUGAUGCCAUGCUUCCAAGAAAAGCUUCUAAGCUUCAGGUAACCAGGAACCGUACCCCAAACCGACACAGGUGGUCGGGUAGAGAAUACCAAGGCGCUUGAGAGAACUCGGGUGAAGGAACUAGGCAAAAUGGCACCGUAACUUCGGGAGAAGGUGCGCCGGCUAGGGUGAAGGAUUUACUCCGUAAGCUCUGGCUGGUCGAAGAUACCAGGCCGCUGCGACUGUUUAUUAAAAACACAGCACUCUGCAAACACGAAAGUGGACGUAUAGGGUGUGACGCCUCCCCGGUGCCGGAAGGUUAAUUGAUGGGGUUAGCGCAAGCGAAGCUCUUGAUCGAAGCCCCGAUAAACGGCGGCCGUAACUAUAACGGUCCUAAGGUAGCGAAAUUCCUUGUCGGGUAAGUUCCGACCUGCACGAAUGGCGUAACGAUGGCGGCGCUGUCUCCACCCGAGACUCAGUGAAAUUGAAAUCGCUGUGAAGAUGCAGUGUAUCCGCGGCUAGACGGAAAGACCCCGCGAACCUUUACUGUAGCUUUGCACUGGACUUUGAGCCUGCUUGUGUGGGAUAGGUGGGAGGCUUUGAAGCGUGGACGCCAGUUCGCGUGGAGCCAUCCUUGAAAUACCACCCUGGCAUGCUUGAGGUUCUAACUCUGGUCCGUAAUCCGGAUCGAGGGCAGUGUAUGGUGGGCAGUUUGACUGGGGCGGUCUCCUCCUAAAGAGUAACGGAGGAGUACGAAGGUGCGCUCAGACCGGUCGGAAAUCGGUCGCAGAGUAUAAAGGCGAAAGCGCGCUUGACUGCGAGACAGACACGUCGAGCAGGUACGAAAGUAGGUCUUAGUGAUCCGGUGGUUCUGUAUGGAAGGGCCAUCGCUCAACGGAUAAAAGGUACUCCGGGGAUAACAGGCUGAUACCGCCCAAGAGUUCAUAUCGACGGCGGUGUUUGGCACCUCGAUGUCGGCUCAUCACAUCCUGGGGCUGAAGCCGGUCCCAAGGGUAUGGCUGUUCGCCAUUUAAAGUGGUACGCGAGCUGGGUUUAGAACGUCGUGAGACAGUUCGGUCCCUAUCUGCCGUGGACGUUUGAGAUUUGAGAGGGGCUGCUCCUAGUACGAGAGGACCGGAGUGGACGAACCUCUGGUGUUCCGGUUGUCACGCCAGUGGCAUUGCCGGGUAGCUAUGUUCGGAAAAGAUAACCGCUGAAAGCAUCUAAGCGGGAAACUUGCCUCAAGAUGAGAUCUCACUGGGAACUUGAUUCCCCUGAAGGGCCGUCGAAGACUACGACGUUGAUAGGCUGGGUGUGUAAACGUUGUGAGGCGUUGAGCUAACCAGUACUAAUUGCCCGUGAGGCUUGACC
RNAcentral lists this ribosomal RNA (1421 nucleotides) under metagenome. Its description in RNAcentral is "bacterial LSU rRNA". It matches the Rfam family "Bacterial large subunit ribosomal RNA", at positions 1526 to 2925 of the family's 2925-position model. The record is from RNAcentral.